UACGGGGGGGGCAAGCGUUGUUCGGAAUUACUGGGCGUAAAGGGCUCGUAGGCGGCCAACUAAGUCACACGUGAAAUCCCCAGGCUCAACCUGGGAACUGCGUGUGAUACUGGAUGGCUUGAAUUCGGGAGAGGGAUGCAGAAUUCCAGGUGUAGCGGUGAAAUGCGUAGAUAUCUGGAGGAACACCGGUGGCGAAGGCGACAUCCUGGACCGGUAUUGACGCUGAGGCGCGAAAGCCAGGGGAGCAAACGGG
Molecule: ribosomal RNA, 253 nt
Filed under: uncultured bacterium
Lineage: Bacteria
Description: partial 16S ribosomal RNA
Rfam family: Bacterial small subunit ribosomal RNA
Source: RNAcentral